UCUUUCUUGAUUACUUUCUUUGAAUGUAGGCAUAAAUACUUUUAGGAAUGAAUUCAAAUUAUAAAGAAGUCGUGAAUCCUUUCUAUCAAAGAUGCAAACUAAGUGAAAAUACUUUUAGAUAGAAGUGCACUUAUAAAUUCAACUUGAAUAAAUCCAUCCGAGAUUUUGAAAAAGAUGCAACUUUAGAUAGACUUUGACUUCUUGCAAAAAUUCUCAAAAUUUUGAUGUAAUUCCAUUAAAUUUCUUAAGCAU
Molecule: long non-coding RNA, 252 nt
Filed under: Physcomitrium patens
Lineage: Eukaryota; Viridiplantae; Streptophyta; Bryopsida; Funariales; Funariaceae
Description: long non-coding RNA (PPAT_LNC006362)
Source: RNAcentral